Molecule: long non-coding RNA, 1171 nt
Organism: Triticum aestivum (bread wheat)
Lineage: Eukaryota; Viridiplantae; Streptophyta; Magnoliopsida; Poales; Poaceae
Exons: 4
Source: RefSeq, a predicted model, not a curated record
AUGAAACUGUUUUGUUUGAGUAACCAUAAAAUAGGAAAAAAAGAGAAAUACACUCAAGAGCCAGCCCCGACCCAUCUUUCUUUAAGCCCACUAAGUAGCCGGCACACCCCCAAAGCCAGCCUCUUUUCGCAAAAAAAUAUAAAAAAUGCCAGCCUCUUCCAUUGCUUUGUCCUCCUUCUCGAUGAAGAACAGCGGUGGCACACUUCUGGUCACUCGCUCCUCGCACUGUGUCCCCGAUCCGCCUGGGAGGCACCUGCACGUGGCUGACUCGCUCUCCUCUACCUCAGCUCGCCGUCCUCCUGCCGUCGCUUAGUGGCAAGACCACCACGACGCCGCUCGCUCUCCUCCCAGAUCUCUGCAGAGUGCCUCCUACUGGAUGACCCCGCGUGUGCGCCGCCCGCCGCUUCACACAUCAGCGCCGCCACCUUGCUGCCGUCCCGGAGAGCCUACUGACAGCCACCGCUGGCCUCUCCAUUCUCUCCCGCGCCUGGCUGCCCUCCACCCCGCUCUGCUUCUGUAACGCCGCCUCCGCGCCAGCAAGUCCCGACACCGGCGAGCCAUUGUCCUUUGGGUGAUGCGGUGCUCCCUCGUCUGCGCCUGUGGCGGGCCGGCUGGUGCUGGGAUUAGGCGCGCACUGCGGCCUCGGCUACAAUUUUCGACUGGCUAGUCUUGUUUCCGCUCAGGUCUCUUGCGGCAUGUAGUUAAUUGUAAGGGCGAUCUUGCACAGUUCUACCUGAUGUACUGCAUAGUCCAAGUCUUUCUAGACAAAUACCAUCUACAGACAUUGGAAACAUUGUUGAGCGCCUUUCCCCAGCUACAGGCUACAUAAGCGACUGGAUUUUUGGAUUUCCAGCAAGAUACGGGCAUAGAUAUAAUUAACCAGCAAGCUGAGUCUGGUCAAACUAUCGACAUCACUGUCAGGACAGAUAGAGCACGGUGUGGCUGCCGGGACUCUGGCGACAGGAACCUGGGCUUGCAGCGGAUGCCACGAUGAACCAUAGAGUUGCAGGAGCGAGCAGCAGAGUGAAGGGAGGCGCAGAAGAGCAGGUCUAGCAGGCGGCGUGGUGGAGCGGUGACGGCUACGCGUGCCGGUGGUGGUGGUGGUGCUGCUGGGGCGAGGCAGGGUGGCAAGAAAAACACCCGGUGUCCAAGUGUCAUGGCGGCGGGCGGG